This is a long non-coding RNA of Erinaceus europaeus (western European hedgehog), 1001 nucleotides long. RefSeq lists it as uncharacterized. The transcript has 3 exons. The record is from RefSeq and is a predicted model, not a curated record. NCBI's taxonomy places the organism in Eukaryota, Metazoa, Chordata, Mammalia, Eulipotyphla, Erinaceidae.
GAUGAGUCACAGCAUUUUUUUGGCAUCACUCUGGCCUCCGGGAAGUGGAGAAUGUCAUUGUCAAAGUAUUUUUGAAUAUUUGCCUUCUCAGCGAGAAGAUGCUGUGAGAACACUCAGUCUCCCAAACAGAAGGAUCCUGGCAGGAGUAACUGCCCCAGAUGAGCCCCGGAUGUGGGGGAGGCCCUGAUGGUGGUGGGGGGGGGGGUCACAGCUGCCAAGGCCUCUCCUUAGAAGGACUCCCAAGUUCUAGGUAUCUGAGGGAGUCCCAGCCACCAUUCCAUACUCUGAAGCAGCAGCAGUGAACGGAUCCCAGGAAGGCCAGGGAGGUGCGGAGUGGGGAGCAGGCACAAGGUCCUGAGUUCAAUCCUUGGACCCACCUAUGCCAUGGUGCAGCUCUGGCCUCUCUCCUCUCACUCCCUACCUCCAGCUCAUUCGAUAAAAUAAACCUUUAGAGCCAGUGGGGAGCCAGGGCUUGAACUGGGAUCCUUAUGCUGGUCCUUGCGCUUUGCACCACCUGCACUUACCCCGCUGCGUUACGGCCUGACUCCCAGCAGAAAACAUUUUGAAGAGGCGUGGAAUCCUAGUGCUAAAACACAUACAGUCUGUGGGCCUCACACCAGCACAGUUUCACUGCCCCCAGGAAGGCUUCUGUUCUUUCAACAAGAGAAAAUGAGGAGCGAGAGAGAGAAGCUCUCCAGGCAUCUUGGGCCCCAGGAUAGGGCCAGUGCUAGAGCCUCGGCCCAGCACUAAGUGCAGCAUGUGCCUCCCUCAGAGAGCUAGGCAGCAAGCCGGCGUCUGGAGGAAGAGUCAAGAGCCUGCAUUUCUGAGCCAUGCGGUGACGCAAACCAGUGCUACCUUAAAUAGAAAAAUAUAUGUUGGUGGAGGGUAGAUAGCAUAAUGGUUAUGCCAAGAGACUCCCAUACCUGAGGCUCCGAAGUAUUAGGUUCAAUCCGCCAUACCACCAUAAGCCAGAGCUGAGCAGUGCUCUUGUUAAAAAUACG